CCCCGAUUGAGAAGUUUUUUUGUCAAGGUUGGUCAUGUGAUAGCCAGAGUCUGUGUAGGGUGAGACUCAGCCAUUGGCCGGCAGCGUUUGGCGCUUCUCUAUAAGAACAGCCGAGUCUGUUCUGAGCUGUUUGAAGCCUUCCUCUACCGCCAGCGGCAGCUUUAUCUUCAUCUUCCGUAAGCACCUACAAACCUGACUGAGACAGUCUGGUGACUGCGGCUGGUUGCGACAAUAGCAAGCAUCAGAAUCACCUCGGACCUGGAUUACGGAGUGUAACGCGUUUUAAACGGCACGUUAAAUUGUGUUCCCUAGUUAAAGGAGAAGAAAAACACCACAGCGACAUGUGUGGUCUGAGUCUUUUUUUGUUCUGCUCAUGUACUUUCUGUUUCUUUUUGUUGAAUAGGGGUGAAAUAGCGAUUUUUCCCUAAAGCGUUCAAGUGUCAGCGGUUGACAGAAGUGACAUCUCGUAACAAGAUUUGCUUAAAAAGAUUUUUCAAAAGAAAAAGCAGUAGUGUAAUGGAGGGGACUUCCAGCUAACAGCAGCAGCGUGGUGCCAUGAGGAAAUACUGAUGAAAGAAUACUGAUCAUGGAGAUGACCUAAUCUGACCGGUAGCAAGGCGGAAGGAGUGAAAUACUCCAGGGAUGCAGGAGCAGCUGUUGGGGGGCUGGAAAAGUGAUUGUGCAGAAGGCAGAGUGACGGAUGUAAGGAGAGCUUAAUCAAGAUCGCUGGAUGGAUGAGGUGUUAAAUAUUGAAGAUGUCACAACUGAAACUGGCCACUAGGAAUUUCACCUACAAUGGCA
Long non-coding RNA from Mobula hypostoma (lesser devil ray), 801 nucleotides. RefSeq lists it as uncharacterized. The record is from RefSeq and is a predicted model, not a curated record. Lineage: Eukaryota; Metazoa; Chordata; Chondrichthyes; Myliobatiformes; Myliobatidae. The transcript has 3 exons.